This is a long non-coding RNA of Polyodon spathula (Mississippi paddlefish), 145 nucleotides long. RefSeq lists it as uncharacterized. The record is from RefSeq and is a predicted model, not a curated record. The transcript has 2 exons. NCBI's taxonomy places the organism in Eukaryota, Metazoa, Chordata, Actinopteri, Acipenseriformes, Polyodontidae.
GGGACGAGGGGAGGGACAGGAUGGCGCGGCACGUGGGUUUGUAACACACGCGGGUUAGUUGGCGGAAGUGAGUGUCUUGGUUGGGAGCGCUUUUGAUCUGUAGUCGUGAACCCACAACAUCUGUUGUUGCAACAAUGACGAAGAG